This 574-nucleotide long non-coding RNA is filed under the name Populus tremula. Its description in RNAcentral is "long non-coding RNA (PTRE_LNC002345)". The record is from RNAcentral. Lineage: Eukaryota; Viridiplantae; Streptophyta; Magnoliopsida; Malpighiales; Salicaceae.
CACAGCAUCAAUUGUUGUUAGUUUUGAGAAGGUUGCAAACAUUCCCUCAACUUUUUUAGGCAAAAAAUGGAGACUAUGCAACAGUUUGGAAAGCCUUUCUCUACUUUUACACUAAUUAUCCUUUUGACGGGAUAAAAGCAGAAAGAUUAGUGAAUUAGGCAAACAUCAGAAGAACAACUAGGUUUUCUUUUAAAACACAAACGUCUAGAUUCCUUGGGAGUAAGAGAUAAAGAGUGGACUGAGAUUCGAAAGGCAGGACAGCAGCAUUUGGAAAGCCUUUCUCUACUUUUACACUAAUUAUCCUUUUGACGGGAUAAAAGCAGAAAGAUUAGUGAAUUAGCCAAACAUCAGAAGAACAACUAGGUUUUCUUUUAAAAUACAAACGUCUAGAUUCCUUGGGAGUAAGAGAUAAAGAGUGGACUGAGAUUCGAAAGGCAGGACAGCAGCAUUUGACUCAAAUCACGAUUCGAAAGAUAAAAUCACAACGUAUAAAUACAUAAAAGAAAGAAAAACCCUGAUCGUUCUUACCAAUCAAAACAUCACUUUUGAAUCGUCAAAAUUAAGUAUCCAGAAA